RNAcentral lists this ribosomal RNA (468 nucleotides) under uncultured bacterium. RNAcentral describes it as "partial 16S ribosomal RNA". It matches the Rfam family "Bacterial small subunit ribosomal RNA", at positions 28 to 507 of the family's 1533-position model. The record is from RNAcentral.
GACGAACGCUGGCGGCGUGCUUAACACAUGCAAGUCGAACGGAAAGGCCCUGCUUUUGUGGGGUGCUCGAGUGGCGAACGGGUGAGUAACACGUGAGUAACCUGCCCUUGACUUUGGGAUAACUUCAGGAAACUGGGGCUAAUACCGGAUAGGAGCUCCUGCUGCAUGGUGGGGGUUGGAAAGUUUCGGCGGUUGGGGAUGGACUCGCGGCUUAUCAGCUUGUUGGUGGGGUAGUGGCUUACCAAGGCUUUGACGGGUAGCCGGCCUGAGAGGGUGACCGGCCACAUUGGGACUGAGAUACGGCCCAGACUCCUACGGGAGGCAGAAGUGUGGAAUAUUGCACUAUGGGCGGAAGCCUGAUGCAGCAACGCCGCGUUCGGGAUGACGGCCUUCGGGUUGUAAACCGCUUUCGCCUGUGACGAAGCGUGAGUGAAGGUAAUGGGUAAAGAAGCACCGGCUAACUACGUG